AGAGCACCGAGCCCCCGCUGAAAUGGGCGGUUUCCAGGGAAAAAUCGCGUCAGGGAUCCCUUCCCUCAGGGGAGGUGAAAUCCAAGUGUGCGCGGUGCGGGGCACCUCGGUACGCCGGGUGCUGCGCGGCUCCUCAGACCUUCCGCAAAAGGGCGAGCAAACCUUUACAAACCGUGACGGGGUCUCGGACAAAGCUCCUGUCUCUGCCCAGUGAGGCCCAUUUUCGGUUGAGUCUGAAGCAAAAAUCAGCCAAUUCUACAAAGAUUGGGCUCCAGAGCACCCUACAGCACAAGGAGCAGGGAAGGGCUCCAGCAGCAGGUGACGGAGUUGUGCACCCGUACGCUCUAAAAGCAAAGGCAGACACUUAGAUCUGAUGCGGUCUAACACUGGAAGGAAUCAAAGGAGCUAAAGAUAAGGCUGUGGAAAAGAAGAGGAGAUAGGAAGCUGCUGGUGUCAGAGACUUUAUCUUGGGGAGUGAGAGGGCAGGACGGGCAGCUCAGACAUCGAGGAGUGGGUUAAGGUGCAGCUUUAGGUGGUGGCCUCUAAGGAGCCUCCACCUAAAUGUUAGAAACACUCCUUUGCCAUCGUUCUUGCAGGAGACGCUUUUCAUUCUGCCCUUCUUUUCUGUCACUUGGUGUGAGUGCAUUAGGCAGCACCUCGGUGCCCAGGCAGGGCUGGAGCAGCCAUUUCGCUUCCUGCCGAUGGGCUCCAUAAAUGCUGCCUCGGUUGGAUCCUCACUUGGAGAGGUGAGAAGAGAUGUGUGGGAUGGGCAGGUGUUACUGCGCAGUAACAGUUAAUUGACUUUUAAAUGCGUUUCAUUGUGAAAGUCACUCUCCGAGUGAAAUGUUGGCCCAUGCCAAAAUACAGACUGCUUGGGCAUUCGGCACAAUUCAAAGGCUCUGUCCUGUGGCCUCCCAGAACUCCUGUGGUGCAUCUUCCACACAAUAAAGCCUCAAAGAAACACAUAUCAGGACAGCUAUCGCAGGUCCCGUUUGGAUCUGCCCUCUUCUGUACUGGCCCCUCUGCUUCCUAUCUCUCGCCCGCUCUUCGAGUUGUCUGUGCCGUGGAAAAGGAAUUACUGCUUGGGUAAUGCAAGGUACCGGGGCUGUGCAAAAGGCCCACUGGGAAGCUGGGAGCCAUAAUGUACUGCAAUUUCACUGCAUGCUAUUUUAUCAUUUUUAUUAAUCACGACUGCUUGAUGAGACCUCAAAGAGUUGUUAAUUAUUACAGCCAUAGCGACACUUUAUUUAGGGAAAUUUAUAUUCAGCACCUGUCUCCCGCUUACCUCUGCAGAAACGUACUCCAACUACUCCCUUACAGGUUUUAUUAUACGUUCUGAUGACAACAUCACAGAAAAUGGAAAAUACUUAAAAUAGACACAGCAAGCUGAAAUGUUACCAUCUACCAGCUAAGAUGAAAGAAAAGUGUUUUUUCUGCUCUUGGCAAAAAGGAGGAAGGUAUUUCUGAAGUGAUUUUUCCAAGCAAAGUAACAAAACAUGAUUUUCUAAAAAAGACCGUUGAAUUAAAAAGUCUAUUAAAUUAAAUCGCCCAUAUUUCUUUUAUUAAUUUCUCAAUAGUAAGAGAGCUAUUUUGAAGAUGACAUCCCUAAUUCUGGUAUUGCUUAUGAUGCUUAUCUGAGUCUUUGAGAGUCUCAUGAGGUUUAUGCAUGUUCUGAAAAUGUAAUGAGCCAAAAUAUUUAUUUAGGAUGAUGGUACACCAUAAAAGUUCCCCGGUUCAGGAAAUUUCAAAAUUUAAUAGAAAUAACUGGUGUGCUUUUAAAAACAAAUAGAUCUAAGUCCAGGAGAUUAAAAUUCUUCCAGGAAUGUUUCUUCAGAUGUGUUUGUACAGCUCCCUUCACGACCGUUUGAGAAGUACACUGGUAAUUCCCAUCUCCUCUGAAGCACGAUUCUCUCUGUCAGGAUGUAAUCUGAUAAAUAGCAAGGAGCAGCAGAGGCAGAAACCGAAGCUUAUCAGACAGAAGGAAAUAAGCACAGGUGGAGAACUGGAUAGACGCGUUCAUUUGAACACGGUGUUUACCUGUCACUGUGCAGGCUGACCGCCUGCUUGCUGGCCAGCUCUCCUCCUCGCAACACCCCUUCAGCUUCUCAGAGCUGAAGUUCUCCAGGAGUGAGCUGUUCCCUGUCUGUUCUCCCUACGAAAAGCGUGCCAUAACCAUUGCUCUCAAUAGUGCACUUUAAAAGGCAUUUUAUCUUCAUGAAAGAAGAUUUAUUACAUUAAGAGCAAUACAUGAAUUGGGUAUUAUUGAAACGACUACGUUUUCUUGACUCAUAAUAGUAAAUUUCCUACUCUAUUGGCAGGAAAGUGCCGUGUUUUCUAUUCCCAGGCUGCUCACGUAAAAUCCAUGGUAUUAUUUUUGUUUUCACUAACAGCUAUGAAGUGUUUAAUUAUCCUUCUCAAGGUAGACUAAAACCUCAAACAAAAUGGAUAAAUUUGAUAUUAUGCCUCUAAGAGGAAAAUCUACGGUUCUUGUGCAGCCAACAAAAUAGUAUGUAUAUAAUAGCAGUAAUUGUUGUCUCCCCCAUUCUUUUGUUCAUUUGCUGUAGUGUGUGUUUGUACAAGGCCAUUUUGUCAGGUUACAUCUUUUAUUCCCGUCUCUUUUGCCUAAAGGGAAAUUUAACAGCUGAGUUUUGUUGUGGGUUACUUGACAUAUUAUGAAGCAGCAGUACUGAGUGAGCAGCAGCCCUCCUGCUGUAUGGGGGGAAGCAGGAGCGCGAGGAAGUGCUCCCCGAUGCCUCGGCUGUGAGGCAGGAUGCCCAGCCGAUGGGCCAUCCAGGAGACAUUUGGGCAUUUAGGAUAAAGAUGUUGUAGGUAACGGCAAAGAUCUCACUCUUUUCUUAAACUGCAGACAAGGAUGGGAGCUUUUGAGUGUUGGCAAGUAAGAUACCUUUAAAGAGACAAAUGUAGUAGAAUCUGGCAAUGAAAGAUAUUACAGUGAUCAGCUGCAAAAUCCCUCUCGUGCAAAAGGUCAGGAAGCACACGUGCUCCAAAUGCUCCACAGCCUCUUCGUAACAAUGGAGAGAAAUAAAUCCAGAAUUCAGUUGCAAAUACUUGGCCAGUAACUUGAGAACGCGCCAGGUUUCCUUCUCUUAUUUUGCUUUUAGUAUUGCUGGAGAAGAUGCUCUCGAUUUGUCUGAACUCCUGAAAUGGAGGAACGUGUGGUCAGUCAGAAACGUCAGCUCAGCGCUCUCACUAGGAAAUAAGAAAUCUGUUCCUCGUUUCCCAUCCCAGACUCCCAGGCCUGCCAGUAACUUGAGCCAGAAGGCAAACUGCGACGCCGAGUACGUCCUCUGACUUCGCCCCUGCUCCGCAGGAGGAAUGUCCCGCUAUGGCAUACGCCAGCGUGCAGCUGAUUUAUUGUGGGUGGAAACUCCCCGCUCCAGCACGCUGGUGGAAGGGGGUGGGGUAGCCCCGGAGGUCUGCUGCUGCUCCUGCUUCUCUUUUGGAAGUCGAGGAGGGCUGCGGUUCCGUGUUUUCGUGUGCCGUUGCGUGGGACAGCUUGCAGUCAGUUGCACGGGCAGGAAAACACCGCGUAGAGCGCCUUGUUUGGAGUUCGUCUACUUGUUGCAAAAACGCUCAGCACCUCCAGAGCCACCCUCCGAGAGCACCUCCAUUUUGAGGACCUGUGGAGCACCUGCACCGGGGCCAGUUUGGAUCGGCAGCGCACUUUCGGAGCGGAUCUCCCAGCGUUACGUGCCGUGCUUUGGCGUGCUGGCGUCAUGGAGCAGCCUCGCUCGCGUCUGGUGAUGUCUGGAUGACACCAAGCUGGCCCCAGGCACGCGCACCUCGCCCUCCGGAGCUGUGAAAUGCCGUGGGGCCCUCUGCAGCAGCUCUUCCACCGUCCUACAGGUGUGUUCCCCUCGCACCACGCUGCCUGCCAAGGUAGGCAUAACCAGAAUCGCUGUGGGCAGGUGUGCCAAGCCUUAGCCAUGACAAAUGCUGAACAGCCCUGUCAAAUAUUUUUGGCAGACUGCAUCUCGUACAUGAAAAAAAAAACAAAAAAGCAGCCUGUGCUGCUGCGUGCACAGGCUGUGACACGACUGUGUGCAGCAGCAGGGCCAGGGCUCGGCAGCAGCAGCCUGAUGGGGAUUCCCACUGCUUCUGCCCCUGAAACCUCCUGUCCCUCAGCUGACCUCCGUCCAGGGAGGGGCUGGUCAGUCGCAACGCCCUGUUUAGAGUUUUGUCUCUCAUUUUCCUCAUACUCAGGACUGGCUGUCCAUCCCACCAGCUCCAAAUGGCCACGCGAGCCCUAACUCCGGCCAGCCCUGGCUGUUUUCUUCAAGUGCACUUAGUUAUUCUGAAGUACUUCAGGGAAAUACAUGGAAGGACAUACCACAGCUACCCAGACUUCAGCCAGAGUAACAGGAAUAUGCACUCUCUGAAUGGUGUUUUAGGCCAGUUUAUCCAAAUGGACAUUCACAGGACGUAGCUUGCCCUGAAAGGCAAAAAAAACAAUCCCGAAUCUGUCAACAGCCUCGCCUGGUGGCUGUCCCUGACUCAGGAAUGGACUGCACAGAACAUGUUUUUGUACUCUGAACACUAAAUCCUCCCUUCACUGCGCCUGUCCAGUGAGAAACCUGCAGUUCCUGCUUGCUGUGAGUUCAGAGCAAGCUGAAAGAAGAGGAAGUGGAGCUUCAAAUCACUGCACGAUGCCUGCCGUGCUAGUGGCUUACGUUGUUACAGACUUGGAGAUAGCCCGUACAUUCACAGCUGCAGAGGGCUUGCGUUUCCUAGGAUCAAGUCUCUUUUGGCCAAAGGGUCCAUUCACACCCUCCCCCUUCCCUCCUGAACGCCCUCCGUGUGUUCAGACCAUGUAAAAAUGGCUCCUGGAAAGGCUUGUUAAAAACAAGCGCUAAAGGUGGUGCGGCUCUGAAAACCUUCGCCGUGCUCACUUGGUCACAGCCCGCCCAGUUGCUGGGUCUCCCCAGGAACUGUUUAUAAACACUUGCGCUGCAUGGCUGUCUCCUCAGGCUGUGUGUGGAAGCAGUUUUAAAGGAGGGCUUGCACACUUCUGCGUGUGCAGCGGGGACCAUCUGGCAAUGGUUAGUUUGUUAUUAUUCACUUUGUCGAUUUAUUCUAACCCUUACCGAUGCUUCAGCGCGAGACAGAUCCUGAGACAAGCUUGUGAGUUCCUGUCUGGGAACUUCCCCAGCCUCCUCCACAAUAAACACAGAUGCCAAAAGCUCGUUUGGGGUUUCUGCUCCAAUUUUGUCUUUUCUACAUAUUCCUUGUGUACCUUGAUAGCCGAUUGGUUCUAGACAAUGUUUCUCAGACUUUCUGCUCCUGAUGAGACUGUAAAGCUUUUGAAGUCUUUUUGCAGGUUGUGUGUUAAACUCAGGUUUUUACAUACCUGUUUUUACAUUUCCCUCACGAUCUUUUCUAUUUUCCUCAUUAGAACAGAAAUCCAACUUUCUGAGGGAUGCCUUUUUGCUCCCAAUGACCUCUCAGGUCCUGCCUUUUAGCCAUGCUUCAUUUUUUACCCAUUUUUUCAGCCAUGUUUGAUCCUUCUGUGUGCUUUGUUGGCAAACGAUAUGCAUUUGGUCAGAGCUUCCAAUGCGAAGUCUUUCAGUGGUCCCCACGUUGCAUGAAAAUCUUUUACUCUUUUAGCUACCUCUUCGAGCUUUUUUUCCAGGAAGCCUUCUCACUUUUACCAUGCCCUCCUUUCUGAAAUGAAGAACAGUGACUUCUUCGGCUUUUGUUACUCUGAUCAGAGUGGUGACUGGAGUAUGCAAUGGUCACUGUUUCAGAGAAUGAUUACUUAGGUCCUGUAUGUAUUCUGUCCUCGUCCAGAUCCAGAGUUGCUUCUCCUUUUGUGGUUUUCCGGAGCAGAUGCUCUAGAAGAAGUCAUUAACAGUGUCUGACCAUUCACACCUAGACAUAACAGCAACGUGGUCUACAUACAGCCACGGGAAAUUUCCCGUUGCAGUUGUGUUUCCCACCCUUGCUGCCUCCCUGGUCUUUAUCACAGCUGCUAAGUUUGGUGAUGGAGUUGAUCCCGUGCUGUAAUGGUAGCAGACAUUUCCACUUAUUUAUCUGUUGAGAAGUCACCAAACUUGUUAAUAAUUUUGCUUGUAUUAGCUGAGGAAAUAGAUUUUGAGGUUUAUAAUUCCACGUGACUCUUGCCACUCUUCAAAGCUGCCUUCGUCUUCCCGCGUGCACCCUCGUAUUUUUGGAGAGAAUCGUUACUGUAAUGGCAAUCAAGUGUCACAUGCCUCAGACCUGUCCAGCAGUGUACACCAGUGGGAAUUGCAGAGAAAAAGGCAAAUAAAAGACAGUGUUGGCAACCGA
Molecule: long non-coding RNA, 6306 nt
Organism: Cygnus olor (mute swan)
Lineage: Eukaryota; Metazoa; Chordata; Aves; Anseriformes; Anatidae
Exons: 2
Source: RefSeq, a predicted model, not a curated record